GACGAACGCUGGCGGCGUGCCUAACACAUGCAAGUCGAACGGAAAGGCCCUGCUUUUGUGGGGUGCUCGAGUGGCGAACGGGUGAGUAACACGUGAGUAACCUGCCCUUGACUUUGGGAUAACUUCAGGAAACUGGGGCUAAUACCGGAUAGGAGCUCCUGCUGCAUGGUGGGGGUUGGAAAGUUUCGGCGGUUGGGGAUGGACUCGCGGCUUAUCAGCUUGUUGGUGGGGUAGUGACUUACCAAGGCUUUGACGGGUAGCCGGCCUGAGAGGGUGACCGGCCACAUUGGGACUGAGAUACGGCCCAGACUCCUACGGGAGGCAGCAGUGGGGAAUAUUGCACAAUGGGCGGAAGCCUGAUGCAGCAACGCCGCGUGCGGGAUGACGGCCUUCGGGUUGUAAACCGCUUUCGCCUGUGACGAAGCGUGAGUGACGGUAAUGGGUAAAGAAGCACCGGCUAACUACGUG
RNAcentral lists this ribosomal RNA (468 nucleotides) under uncultured bacterium. RNAcentral's name for it is "partial 16S ribosomal RNA". It matches the Rfam family "Bacterial small subunit ribosomal RNA", at positions 28 to 507 of the family's 1533-position model. The record is from RNAcentral.